UGCUUAACUUUGAGGAUUUAAUUCUAAAGUUAGGGUGAAUGUUUUAAGCUAUAAUUUAAUAUGUUUAUCUUUUGGUAUGUUUAGACCAUAGAUUAAUUUCGUGUAACUUGGUUUGAGGUUUAGUACUCAAAGGAGGGGUUCUAAACCAUGCAACGGUUGUAUUUAUGAAGCUGUUUUGUUCAACAUGUUGUAUGAUGAAUGUAUUUUGUGUUUGUGGAAACCUCGUUGAGGUGGGAUUAGGAUUUUCUUGAUUAUAAGAGAUAGGCUUUGAGAUUAAAGUGUAAGUUUAUGAAAAGGAAUUAUGGAUAGUAAUAAACUUUGAUAUUUGGUUUAGGUGUUACCAGUUCCCCAGGUUUAAGCUCCGUCGACUGUAGGCUCUUCGUUCCUCUGCUUUCAGUUAGCAGGUUUUAUUUUGGAGCAGAGGGAGCCUUAGUCGAGUUUGGAAGGAGCUGAUUUUAGUUUUAUAUGUAUAGAUCCUAAAUUAGACAUUUGAUGUUUAGCUUUGUAGUAUUGUGUAUUUUAGGAUCUAAUGAAAGUUGUGUACCUUAAAGUAUUAAAAGAUGUAUCAUGUGAAAGUGUGGAAAUUAAAUGAUUGGUGGAUUAUGUUAUAUUU
Quercus lobata is the source of this 613-nucleotide long non-coding RNA. RefSeq lists it as uncharacterized. The transcript has 2 exons. NCBI's taxonomy places the organism in Eukaryota, Viridiplantae, Streptophyta, Magnoliopsida, Fagales, Fagaceae. The record is from RefSeq and is a predicted model, not a curated record.